CCUACGGGCGGCAGCAGUGAGGAAUAUUGGUCAAUGGGCGGAAGCCUGAACCAGCCAAGUAGCGUGCAGGAUGACGGCCCUACGGGUUGUAAACUGCUUUUAUACGGGAAUAACGCGCCUUACGUGUAGGGCUUUGCAUGUACCGUAUGAAUAAGGACCGGCUAAUUCCGUGCCAGCAGCCGCGGUAAUACGGAAGGUCCGGGCGUUAGCCGGGUUUAUUGGGUCUAAGGGGAGCGUAGGCGGCAUGUCAAGCGUGCUGUGAAAUGUCCGGGCUCAACCCGGGCAUUGCAGCGCGAACUGGCGAGCUUGAGUGCAGGGAAGGCAGGCGGAAUUCGUAGUGUAGCGGUGAAAUGCGUAGAUAUGAGGAGGAACCCC
RNAcentral lists this ribosomal RNA (375 nucleotides) under uncultured bacterium. RNAcentral's name for it is "partial 16S ribosomal RNA". It matches the Rfam family "Bacterial small subunit ribosomal RNA", at positions 338 to 710 of the family's 1533-position model. The record is from RNAcentral.